GACGAACGCUGGCGGCGUGCCUAAUACAUGCAAGUUGAGCGCUGAAGGUUGGUACUUGUACCAACUGGAUGAGCAGCGAACGGGUGAGUAACGCGUGGGGAAUCUGCCUUUGAGCGGGGGACAACAUUUGGAAACGAAUGCUAAUACCGCAUAAAAACUUUAAACACAAGUUUUAAGUUUGAAAGAUGCAAUUGCAUCACUCAAAGAUGAUCCCGCGUUGUAUUAGCUAGUUGGUGAGGUAAAGGCUCACCAAGGCGAUGAUACAUAGCCGACCUGAGAGGGUGAUCGGCCACAUUGGGACUGAGACACGGCCCAAACUCCUACGGGAGGCAGCAGUAGGGAAUCUUCGGCAAUGGACGAAAGUCUGACCGAGCAACGCCGCGUGAGUGAAGAAGGUUUUCGGAUUGUAAAACUCUGUUGGUAGAGAAGAACGUUGGUGAGAGUGGAAAGCUCAUCAAGUGACGGUAACUACCCAGAAAGGGACGGCUAACUACGUG
This 497-nucleotide ribosomal RNA is filed under the name uncultured bacterium. RNAcentral describes it as "partial 16S ribosomal RNA". It matches the Rfam family "Bacterial small subunit ribosomal RNA", at positions 28 to 507 of the family's 1533-position model. The record is from RNAcentral.